CUGGCGGCAUAUUCUAACACAUGCCACUCGAGCGCGAAAACACUUCGGUGUGAGUAAAGCGGCGGACGGGUGAGUAACGCGUAGGAAUCUACCUAGUAGUGGGGGGCAACUCGGGGAAACUCGAGCUAAUACCGCAUACGCCCUACGGGGGAAAGCGGGGGACCUUCGGGCCUCGUGCUAUUAGAUGAGCCUGCGUUGGAUUAGCUAGUUGGUGGGGUAAAGGCCUACCAAGGCGACGAUCCAUAGCUGGUCUGAGAGGAUGAUCAGCCACACCGGGACUGAGACACGGCCCGGACUCCUACGGGAGGCAGCAGUGGGGAAUAUUGCGCAAUGGGCGAAAGCCCGACGCANCCAUGCCGCGUGU
Molecule: ribosomal RNA, 364 nt
Filed under: uncultured bacterium
Lineage: Bacteria
Description: bacterial SSU rRNA
Rfam family: Bacterial small subunit ribosomal RNA
Source: RNAcentral